RNAcentral lists this ribosomal RNA (212 nucleotides) under uncultured bacterium. Its description in RNAcentral is "partial 16S ribosomal RNA". It matches the Rfam family "Bacterial small subunit ribosomal RNA", at positions 1289 to 1500 of the family's 1533-position model. The record is from RNAcentral.
CAGUUCGGAUUGUAGUCUGCAACUCGACUACAUGAAGCUGGAAUCGCUAGUAAUCGCGGAUCAGAAUGCCGCGGUGAAUACGUUCCCGGGUCUUGUACACACCGCCCGUCACACCAUGGGAGUUGACAACGCCCGAAGUCAGUGACCUAACCGAAAGGGAGGAGCUGCCGAAGGCGGGGUUGAUAACUGGGGUGAAGUCGUAACAAGGUACC